CCUACGGGCGGCAGCAGUGGGGAAUAUUGGACAAUGGGCGAAAGCCUGAUCCAGCCAUGCCGCGUGUGUGAAGAAGGCCUUCGGGUUGUAAAGCACUUUCAGUGGGGAAGAAAGCCUUGGGGCUAAUACCCUCGAGGAAGGACAUCACCCACAGAAGAAGCACCGGCUAACUCCGUGCCAGCAGCCGCGGUAAUACGGAGGGUGCGAGCGUUAAUCGGAAUUACUGGGCGUAAAGCGCGCGUAGGCGGUCUGAUAAGCCGGUUGUGAAAGCCCCGGGCUCAACCUGGGAACGGCAUCCGGAACUGGCAGGCUAGAGUGCAGGAGAGGAAGGUAGAAUUCCCGGUGUAGCGGUGAAAUGCGUAGAGAUCGGGAGGAAUACCAGUGGCGAAGGCGGCCUUCUGGACUGACACUGACGCUGAGGUGCGAAAGCGUGGGUAGCAAACAGGAUUAGAUACCCGGGUAGUC
Molecule: ribosomal RNA, 465 nt
Filed under: Vreelandella stevensii
Lineage: Bacteria; Pseudomonadati; Pseudomonadota; Gammaproteobacteria; Oceanospirillales; Halomonadaceae
Description: partial 16S ribosomal RNA
Rfam family: Bacterial small subunit ribosomal RNA
Source: RNAcentral